Long non-coding RNA from Pongo pygmaeus (Bornean orangutan), 146 nucleotides. RefSeq lists it as uncharacterized. The transcript has 3 exons. The record is from RefSeq and is a predicted model, not a curated record. Lineage: Eukaryota; Metazoa; Chordata; Mammalia; Primates; Hominidae.
GUGCCUUUCACUAUCUGCCAUGAUUGUGAGGCCUCCCCAGCCACGUGGAACUGUAUUUUCCCCAAAGGAUCUGAAGCAGUGGACAAGAUGAGAGGGUGGCACAAGAAUCUGGAAGACGCCUGUGGUUCCUAGAAAACAGAGGAAGG